RNAcentral lists this ribosomal RNA (600 nucleotides) under Pseudomonas putida. RNAcentral describes it as "bacterial SSU rRNA". It matches the Rfam family "Bacterial small subunit ribosomal RNA", at positions 78 to 674 of the family's 1533-position model. Lineage: Bacteria; Pseudomonadati; Pseudomonadota; Gammaproteobacteria; Pseudomonadales; Pseudomonadaceae. The record is from RNAcentral.
GCUUGCUCCUUGAUUCAGCGGCGGACGGGUGAGUAAUGCCUAGGAAUCUGCCUGGUAGUGGGGGACAACGUUUCGAAAGGAACGCUAAUACCGCAUACGUCCUACGGGAGAAAGCAGGGGACCUUCGGGCCUUGCGCUAUCAGAUGAGCCUAGGUCGGAUUAGCUAGUUGGUGGGGUAAUGGCUCACCAAGGCGACGAUCCGUAACUGGUCUGAGAGGAUGAUCAGUCACACUGGAACUGAGACACGGUCCAGACUCCUACGGGAGGCAGCAGUGGGGAAUAUUGGACAAUGGGCGAAAGCCUGAUCCAGCCAUGCCGCGUGUGUGAAGAAGGUCUUCGGAUUGUAAAGCACUUUAAGUUGGGAGGAAGGGCAGUAAGCUAAUACCUUGCUGUUUUGACGUUACCGACAGAAUAAGCACCGGCUAACUCUGUGCCAGCAGCCGCGGUAAUACAGAGGGUGCAAGCGUUAAUCGGAAUUACUGGGCGUAAAGCGCGCGUAGGUGGUUUGUUAAGUUGGAUGUGAAAGCCCCGGGCUCAACCUGGGAACUGCAUCCAAAACUGGCAAGCUAGAGUACGGUAGAGGGUGGUGGAAUUUCCUGU